CCUACGGGUGGCUGCAGUGAGGAAUAUUGGUCAAUGGCCGGAAGGCUGAACCAGCCAUGCCGCGUGAAGGUCAGUGCCCUAUGGGCUUUAAACUUCUUUUGUUCUGGAGCAAUAAUGGUCACGUGUGGCCUGACGAGAGUACCGUACGAAUAAGCAUCGGCUCACUCCGUGCAAGCAGCCGCGGUAAUACGGGGGAUGCAAGCGUUUUCCUGAUUUAUUUGGUUUUAAGGGUGCGUAUGCUGUGAGGUAAGUCAGCGGUGAAAUGCCCCGGCGCAACGGGGUGAAGUGCGAUUGAAACUGCCUUGCUGGAAUGCGGAUGCGGUGGGAGGAAUGUGUGGUGUAGCGGUGAAAUGCAUAGAUAUCACACAGAACACCGAUUGCGAAGGCAGCUCACGAGUCCGCGAUUGACGCGGAUGCACGAAAGCGUGGGUAUCAAACAGGAUUAGAUACCCGGGUAGUC
This 460-nucleotide ribosomal RNA is filed under the name uncultured bacterium. RNAcentral's name for it is "partial 16S ribosomal RNA". It matches the Rfam family "Bacterial small subunit ribosomal RNA", at positions 338 to 795 of the family's 1533-position model. The record is from RNAcentral.